This 741-nucleotide ribosomal RNA is filed under the name Microbacterium aurantiacum. RNAcentral describes it as "partial 16S ribosomal RNA". It matches the Rfam family "Bacterial small subunit ribosomal RNA", at positions 106 to 859 of the family's 1533-position model. Lineage: Bacteria; Bacillati; Actinomycetota; Actinomycetes; Micrococcales; Microbacteriaceae. The record is from RNAcentral.
GUGAGUAACACGUGAGCAACCUGCCCUGGACUCUGGGAUAAGCGCUGGAAACGGCGUCUAAUACUGGAUAUGAGCCUCUUCCGCAUGGUGGGGGUUGGAAAGAUUUUUCGGUCUGGGAUGGGCUCGCGGCCUAUCAGCUUGUUGGUGAGGUAAUGGCUCACCAAGGCGUCGACGGGUAGCCGGCCUGAGAGGGUGACCGGCCACACUGGGACUGAGACACGGCCCAGACUCCUACGGGAGGCAGCAGUGGGGAAUAUUGCACAAUGGGCGGAAGCCUGAUGCAGCAACGCCGCGUGAGGGAUGACGGCCUUCGGGUUGUAAACCUCUUUUAGCAGGGAAGAAGCGAGAGUGACGGUACCUGCAGAAAAAGCGCCGGCUAACUACGUGCCAGCAGCCGCGGUAAUACGUAGGGCGCAAGCGUUAUCCGGAAUUAUUGGGCGUAAAGAGCUCGUAGGCGGUUUGUCGCGUCUGCUGUGAAAUCCCGAGGCUCAACCUCGGGCCUGCAGUGGGUACGGGCAGACUAGAGUGCGGUAGGGGAGAUUGGAAUUCCUGGUGUAGCGGUGGAAUGCGCAGAUAUCAGGAGGAACACCGAUGGCGAAGGCAGAUCUCUGGGCCGUAACUGACGCUGAGGAGCGAAAGGGUGGGGAGCAAACAGGCUUAGAUACCCUGGUAGUCCACCCCGUAAACGUUGGGAACUAGUUGUGGGGACCAUUCCACGGUUUCCGUGACGCAGCUAACGCA